UACGUAGGGUGCGAGCGUUAAUCGGAAUUACUGGGCGUAAAGCGUGCGCAGGCGGUAAGUUAAGUCUGAUGUGAAAGCCCCGGGCUCAACCUGGGAAUGGCAUUGGAAACCGGCUUGCUGGAGUGUGGCAGAGGGGGGUGGAAUUCCGCGUGUAGCAGUGAAAUGCGUAGAGAUGCGGAGGAACACCGAUGGCGAAGGCAGCCCCCUGGGCCAACACUGACGCUCAGGCACGAAAGCGUGGGGAGCAAACAGG
This 253-nucleotide ribosomal RNA is filed under the name uncultured bacterium. RNAcentral describes it as "partial 16S ribosomal RNA". It matches the Rfam family "Bacterial small subunit ribosomal RNA", at positions 524 to 776 of the family's 1533-position model. The record is from RNAcentral.